RNAcentral lists this ribosomal RNA (731 nucleotides) under uncultured Campylobacter sp. RNAcentral's name for it is "bacterial SSU rRNA". It matches the Rfam family "Bacterial small subunit ribosomal RNA", at positions 28 to 776 of the family's 1533-position model. The record is from RNAcentral. Lineage: Bacteria; Pseudomonadati; Campylobacterota; Epsilonproteobacteria; Campylobacterales; Campylobacteraceae.
AGUGAACGCUGGCGGCGUGCCUAAUACAUGCAAGUCGAACGGAGAUUAAGUAGCGUGCUAUUUAAUCUUAGUGGCGCACGGGUGAGUAAUAUAUAGCUAACUUGCCCAUUACUAAGGGACAACAGUUGGAAACGACUGCUAAUACCUUAUACUCCGUAUCUAUACAAGUGGGUACGGGAAAGUUUUUCGGUAAUGGAUAGGGCUAUAUCGUAUCAGCUAGUUGGUAAGGUAAUGGCUUACCAAGGCUAUGACGCGUAACUGGUCUGAGAGGAUGAUCAGUCACACUGGAACUGAGACACGGUCCAGACUCCUACGGGAGGCAGCAGUAGGGAAUAUUGCUCAAUGGGGGAAACCCUGAAGCAGCAACGCCGCGUGGAGGAUGACACUUUUCGGAGCGUAAACUCCUUUUCUUGGGAAAGAAUUAUGACGGUACCCAAGGAAUAAGCACCGGCUAACUCCGUGCCAGCAGCCGCGGUAAUACGGAGGGUGCAAGCGUUACUCGGAAUCACUGGGCGUAAAGGACGCGUAGGCGGAUUAUCAAGUCUCUUGUGAAAUCUAACGGCUUAACCGUUAAACUGCUUGAGAAACUGAUAAUCUAGAGUAAGGGAGAGGCAGAUGGAAUUCUUGGUGUAGGGGUAAAAUCCGUAGAGAUCAAGAAGAAUACCCAUUGCGAAAGCGAUCUGCUGGAACUUAACUGACGCUAAUGCGUGAAAGCGUGGGGAGCAAACAGG